UGGGGUACAUGAUGACAUCUACUUUGAACUCUCUCCCUGAGAUUCAGAUGAAAACAAAAGUACUGAUCCCCCU
Molecule: small nucleolar RNA, 73 nt
Filed under: Pelobates cultripes (western spadefoot toad)
Lineage: Eukaryota; Metazoa; Chordata; Amphibia; Anura; Pelobatidae
Source: RNAcentral